Molecule: long non-coding RNA, 289 nt
Filed under: Brassica rapa (field mustard)
Lineage: Eukaryota; Viridiplantae; Streptophyta; Magnoliopsida; Brassicales; Brassicaceae
Description: long non-coding RNA (BRAP_LNC002535)
Source: RNAcentral
UUAGAUUAAAAUUAUGAAGGGUCCAGAUUAAAAUACUUUUGUGUUGCUUUCUUCUUCUUUUUUUCUCUUUUCCGCUCUCCUUCGUCUGAUUUGUCUUCUUUCAUUCUAUCUCUUUCUCUGUAACAAUCGACUCAUGCAUUCACCUCCUCACCGGUUUCACCUCCUCACCAUCACCACCGGUCGACCUCUGAUAUACCUUGGAUUUGACCCAUUUUUAUCCAUGGUAUAUAAGUGUUUUACUAUAUAUAUAUAUAUAUCUAUGUUUUCUACUCUUCUAGGUAUGUUUUCA